Molecule: transfer RNA, 85 nt
Filed under: Cubamyces sp. BRFM 1775
Lineage: Eukaryota; Fungi; Basidiomycota; Agaricomycetes; Polyporales; Polyporaceae
Description: Leiotrametes sp. BRFM 1775 tRNA-His
Rfam family: tRNA
About the family: Transfer RNA (tRNA) molecules are approximately 80 nucleotides in length.
Source: RNAcentral
GUCCUUGUCGAUUAGUGGUUAGAUCAUCACGUUGUGGUUGUACUGCAAGACCGUGAAGACGGAGGCUCGAAUCCUCCCUGGGACA